AGUGAAUGCUAUCCAGUAAGUAGUUAAAACUCAUUUUAUCACAUCGCAACACAAACACAACCUCAAUGGACUAAAUGUAGACCAUCUUCAUCUUAUUUCAUUUUAUAAAAUGUUUAUUAUUUCCUUCCUAUUAAAAAAUAAGUUUUCAAAUUAGGAUAAACGAUUUUACAUAUUCCACUUUAAAAUGUGCAAGAAGUUUUACAAAAUUCUUUUAGAUUGCAGGUGAUAAAGGCUGGACUGACCAUCCUUUAAGCAGCACGCAUUGCACGAACCACUGGGAAUACCAGGAGAACACGGUACAAACGGCCUCUCCCUCAUAAUCCUCUGGCCUCCCCUGCCCUCUCCGGAAAACACCUGCCUCUGGUGACUGUUGUGAAGACGCACAUGUGCGGUGUAGACCACCCCAUACAAAGUUGGUGCCGAAAACGGGGUACGUUCUUAUCAUUGUUGCUGUCAGACCAAAGGGUAAGAGUUUGUCCCUUGCAUGAAACCCGUGGAUCUCCAGGAUAGGGAAAGCCAGAAGAAAGCGCGUGCGACUUUCCGGAUCGGAAGCAGCUUCCUUUCCUCUCAGUCCAACUUUCACUGCAGCCACUGCUUUGGCGACCAGCCCAGCACAAGCGAACCGGAAGCACGCCUGCCGGCACUGGCUUCCGGUCUACCCAGGCUGCUCUGCAGCGGCGCAUGCGCAGCACGACAGGCCGUUUUCCUUGAGGCGUAAUUGCUGACCGCGUGUCGUGUGGGCCCGACCGUAGACGCUCGAGAGUUCUAAGUCUCGCUGGGUAAAAUCAUACGAACGUGAGUCAAUGCCUGUGACAGAUGAAAGGAGGAUCAUCACCAACGUGCUGAUGUUCAUCAUCCCUGGAUGUGGGGCUGCAGGUGAGGCAGCUUCCCAUUCCGGGAAGAAAGAUAAAAAAGAAGAGAGGAGGGAAGAAAAGAGGGAGAGAAAGAAGAAGGGGGGCAAAAAGGGAAGGAGGAAGAGAGAGAGAACAAGGAGGAGGAGCACAAGGACAAUGAAAGAAAGGAAAGAAGGAAAAGGAAAGAAAGAAAAUGCCCCAAAGGUUCCACUUGGAUGCUGGUGGGACAAGGUGGCCCUGGCAAACCUCCCCCUCCUCCCCGGUGUCAGGCCUGACCUGAAGGAUUCUCUUCCCAGCUUCCUGAUCAUCCCUGUUCUUCCAGAAGCACGCAGGUUCAUGUUGGUGAUCUAUUUUUUUCUUAAUUGAGAUGCAACUGUUAGUAUGGUACAUUUUGCUGACAUUCAUGUCACAUUUCCUAGAUACCAGAUAAAAAAUACUUUUAAUUAGUUAUAAAUGAGAAUGUAUACACAACAAUUCUGAAACUGUGUCUUCCUCAAAGUUUGCUUCCAAGUAUGAUACAUGUGGCUUUAGUGCCAAUUCUUAUUAAUUGUGUAAUGCAGUCUGCUGACACCCGUGACACAUUUCCCCAUAUCCAGUCACAAAAAUACUUCUAAUUAGCCAUAAAUGAGAGUGUACACACAACAUUUCCAAUAGCCACUCUGUUCCUCUCAAAGUUCACGUCAGAGAAAACUUAAACUGUUGCCACUGAGCUGCCUUGCUCCAAUUCCAACAACUCCUAUUUCAGAAGUGCUUAGAAAGUUGAAUCUUUAGAUCUUGCUUGGUAAACAGAUCUGAGGUAGAUUUAUUUCAACCCGAGUCCUCUAUUUGAGAUACAUGUGCUCCCAAACCCAACUAAAAUGCAUACCAUGGCCAUUUCAAAGGCAGUGAUAAAAUUACUUGGUUAAAUAUUUUGGCUAGAUUUCCUGUUUCCAGAGGCCCAGGCAUUAUAUUCUGUGGCUUCUGCGUUUGCACAUGGCGAUGGGGCGGUAUUAAAUGGCACCACAUCUGCCAGCCUCCGUAAGAACCAUGCCCCACAGGGAAGCCCCAGGCACCCAUCCACCGCUAUGAGCCACACAGACUGGGACGGACGACUCCAGACCUCAAUAACCACCUUCAAGUUCCCAGACCUUUAACUUUCUUCAGGAAUCCAGGCUGUAAGCCUCUUAAGAUGAUCCCAGACCAUAAAGUACCUCCCUCAGUUCAAAGUGUGGAGUCUAUAAAAUCACUCUAGUUAUAAUUCAGAUAUUCUCCAAACUCGAGGCUGUGAAGCAUUCUGAUCUGCUCUUAGAUUUCUGUAUAAUCUCUCCUUCAUUUCACAACAGGCUUUGUCUUCUGUAGCUCUGUGCAGAUGGCAAUCCUUUGUAAGUCAUGAGGCCAUGAUUUGUGCAUGGUACAUCACAGUGAAAGGGGGGCUUUAUGUCAGGGGAGGAAAAACAGUUCUGUUAAACUUUGCUUACUUUCACUACCUUUAAAAACUCAUUAAAUAGGAUUCUGCCUUUUACUUGCCGAAGUGUUUAAAACCCUUUUUAAUGAAAAAUUCUAAUCCUAUAUAAUCACACCAUAAGUACUUUCUUUCUGUUCAAAGAGGAAACAGUGUAAUUUUAAUGCAUACCUCUGGCAGGCUAUAAUAAAAGCGUUCAGUCAGUUUUAAAUCGGAUUAGUGUAACUGUUACAGAUUAGAGAAAAACCUCAAGUGAUUGAAGCAAGUCCCCCACUCAAGGGAACUAAUUUAGGGUCCAGGCCUGAUCAUACCAGACUUGAAGGGAACAUCAAGAGUCUUGCCUUCAGUUUGCCCAAAAUUUGUUCACAAGCUCAUACAAUAAGGUCCUGUGCUAGGUAUUACAGCCAUAUAAAGACAAGCCUUCCAAUGGGAGGCAGACCAGAUGGAAUGCAGCCCUAGACAAUGUGGAAUGAAGGGAAGAGCAGGAGAAGUGGGGCCUCCUUAGAGAAUGCAGAAUGGACAAAAUCACAUCUCAGAGAGAGAACCAUGGAGAUGUCUUAGAGGAUGAAACUUCUAAACGAGGCCUUAAAAGACAGACAGGUGAAGAGACAGGGACAUCCUUGGUAGGGUGGGAAAGGGUAUAAAAUUUUCCGAGAAUUAGGAAAAUUGAGUUGUUUAGAACAUGGAGAAGGGGAAGGGAAUGCCUCUGUGUCGAGGGCUGCUUUGUAGCAGGCACUGUACCAGGCACCUACAUCUCUUUUCUCAUUUAGUCCCCACAACAUCCCAGCGAGGUGGGUAUUACCCCCAUUUUAUAGAUGAGAAGACUGAACCUCAGGGAGAUUCUCCAACUUGUCUAAGGUCAAACAGCUAGCAAGUGCUUGCACUCAGAAGAAAAAUAUGGUUGAGCUUCUCUCAAUAAUUAGUCUAGGGAACUCCCCAAAUCGCUCCUUCCUCUUAGCCAUCAUUAGGGCCCAGCUUGUUCCAAAAGACUUUCCUGACCACCUGAGUUAGAAAUAUCUCUAGUCCCUGAAUUCAUAGCAUUCUUAAUUCUGUUACCCAAGAGGCAUUUAUUGUACCCUGGCUUAUAUUGUUAUCUUUUCUCGUGCAAAUGUUUACCUCAGUGCUUCUUCCUUGGUAGGAUCCGUUGUGUAGAGCAGGAAUAUCAAAAACAUCUGAGAAUAAAUGCACAUAUAUAUUUUUAAAUGUUUAUAUUUAUGAAACUGCCAUCCCACCCACCUUGCUUGGCCUUCUUCCAUAGUCUAAUAC
RNAcentral lists this long non-coding RNA (3561 nucleotides) under Equus asinus (donkey). RNAcentral's name for it is "lncRNA (ENSEASG00005038754.1)". Lineage: Eukaryota; Metazoa; Chordata; Mammalia; Perissodactyla; Equidae. The record is from RNAcentral.